This 226-nucleotide ribosomal RNA is filed under the name uncultured bacterium. RNAcentral's name for it is "partial 16S ribosomal RNA". It matches the Rfam family "Bacterial small subunit ribosomal RNA", at positions 524 to 742 of the family's 1533-position model. The record is from RNAcentral.
UACGAAGGGUGCAAGCGUUACUCGGAAUUACUGGGCGUAAAGCGUGCGUAGGCGGUUUGUUAAGUCCGUUGUGAAAGCCCUGGGCUCAACCUGGGAAUUGCAGUGGAUACUGGCGAGCUAGAGUGCGGUAGAGGAUGGUGGAAAUUCCCCGGUGUAGCGGUGAAAAUGCGUAGAGAUCGGGGAGGAACACCCCGUGGCGAAGGGCGGCCCAUCUGGGACCCAGCAU